Molecule: long non-coding RNA, 2098 nt
Organism: Cheilinus undulatus (humphead wrasse)
Lineage: Eukaryota; Metazoa; Chordata; Actinopteri; Labriformes; Labridae
Exons: 3
Source: RefSeq, a predicted model, not a curated record
GCAGACUGUGUUUGUCUAUUGUUGUGAAUAAAAUGAAGAUCGGAACACAUUUGAUGACCAAUUUAUGCAGAAAUUCAAGAAACCUCAAAGGGUUCACAUACUUUUUCUAGCGACUGUAUUUUGCGCUAGGGUGGUGGUUCUAAAUGUGGGGAUUGGGACCCUCAUUGGGGUCAUGAGACACUAAGGGAGCCCUUUGUUUAUCAAGUGACAGUCUAUACAUACAUAGUAAAUAAAAGCAUGAUUGCACCACAUUUAGUAAACUGCUACCUUCCAAUUAUUGCCUCACAUGGAUUGAAGCAAUAUAUAUAUAUAUAUAUAUAUAUGCAUCCAGUUAUUUAAAUUUAAAAUAAAAACAUAGUCAUGUGGUUAGAUUUAUGCUGAAUCAAAGUUUUUUAAAAGUUAAGUUAAGCCACCUUCAGGUACAGUGCAGGUCCUAGGUCUUUGGCACCUAUUUUGGGAGUCACGGGCUAAAAAGUUUGAGACACCCUGCUCUAGAAUUCUGUUUUAUUUCAGUGACAAAGGACAUAGAGUCCACAUAAGGAUUGCAACAAACAUGAAAGCUUUUCUUUUUGUAAAAAUAUUUGACCAAAUGAUAGGCUCAUUAUCAAACACUGAAUAUUUUAUUUGAAGUAACUGUGAGAAUAAUUCUGUUUGUGUGGAAUUUGGCGCCCCCUGUGGACAAAGUAGUAUGACAUCCCUUUUAAAACACUGAUAAUCUUAAAGGGGACAUAUUAUACCCUUAUGAGACAAGUUUAUGUUGUUCUCAGAGGUCCCCAAAACAUGCCUGUGAAGUUUGUUGCUGAAAAAAACAAAACACUCCAGUACUGGAUUUUUGCAUGUCUAAAAACCCCUCUUAGGUGGUGGGCCAAGGCUGCGUAUCUGCUUUAGUUUUUGAAAAUAACGAUCUCCACCGAGGGAGGAGCCAGAUUUCUCAAAUUAUAAAGAUUAUUUUACUAUAAAUCAGAUUCUGUUUGUUGUCACUCGAAAUACUGGCACAUUUUUCUGCUACCGUAACCUAAAAUUCGUUAAUUUUUCAGGCAAAAGCCGCUGCCUACUAUAACAUUUGGCCAAUAGCAGGCUACGAUUCUUACGCCGUUGGCCAAUCAGAGACUGCAUUAGAUUGAGAACUGGUGUUCAACACUAAAGGAUGGUGUAGGUACACCUAUACCUGCAGAAUCAGUCACCUGAAAGUUGUUCUGCUGUUGGAAAGUAAAAGGGAUGAGGAAGAGGAGGAGAAGACAGCACCCUCAGGGAUCAUCUCCUCAGCUGUCAGAUUGUCGACAUAAAACUAUACACUUUAUUGGGAGAAGGUGUGGAGCCUGUUAGGAUCUUUAGAACUCUGCAGUAUGUGACCAUAGGGUUCUCAUCCUUGCUGGCAUGUCCUCAUCCAUUGUGUGGAGCACUGGAGCGCAGUUUGAUGGUGUUUUUAAGUCUCCUGUUUAUGUGUUUGUAUAAAAUCAUAUAGUGAUGGAGAUAUACACUGAAUGCUUUGUUUCAAAUCCUGCUCAGCACUUCAUUGUCAGUGGAAUACACAAUGAUUGAGUGAGGUGUGUAAUGUAACACAGUAGCCUUACCUUAAACCUGAUCAGACAUAUGCCUGUUUAAAGCUGCUGUUUGAUUUACUACUCUGAAAAACUCUCAUGGGUCUCCUACUGUUAAUUCUGUGCCUUUUAAUGCAAUUUUUGUAACAGUUGUAACCUGCCAAGGUACUUGAAAUUUUGGUAGUUAACUCUUUUCCAAUGCAUCAUAUGGCAACAUUUAAACCUGAAUGUAUGUCCUUUUAAAAAUACUCGAGUGGGUAAAUGUGAUAUGAUUUAUCAUUGGGUCAGAAUCAUCUUGUUGCUAAAGACUGCAGUCUCAGUUGAGAUAUCUAAGUUGUGUUUUUCUGAGAACUGAAUAGAAAGCUUGUGCUUUAACAUUAAGCUACAAAAAAUCAAAAGGCAGUCUGCUAUAUUUCCUUUCGGUUUGGUCCUUAUUUCCAUUGCUCAAAGUCUCAAAUUGAAUUAAAAAUUAAAUUAAAGAUCCGUGAAUCAGUUUCUUGAAUUGAAUUUGAUACUAACCUUGUUUGACACUCUCUCUGAAUAAAAACUGCCCUUUA